AUCAACUUUCGAUGGUAGGAUAGAGGCNUACCAUGGUGGUAACGGGUAACGGGGUGUUAGGGCACGACACCGGAGAGGGAGCCUGAGAAACGGCUACCACAUCCAAGGAAGGCAGCAGGUGCGCAAAUUACCCAAUCCCGACACGGGGAGGUAGUGACAAUAAAUAACAAUACAGGGUUCUUUAGGAUCUUGUAAUUGGAAUGAGUACAAUUUAAAUCUCUUAAUGAGGAACAAUUGGAGGGCAAGUCUGGUGCCAGCAGCCGCGGUAAUUCCAGCUUCAAUAGCGUAUAUUAAAGUUGUUGCAGUUAAAAAGCUCGUAGUUGAAUUUCGGGAUUAAUAGGUUGGUCAUGCCCUCGGUAUGUACUGAUUUCAUUGGUUCUCACCUUCUAAGGAAUCAUAAUGUCAUUCGUUUGAUGUUGUGGGGAAUUAGGACUGUUACCUUGAAAAAAUUAGGGUGUUUAAAGCAGGCUAACGCUUGAAUACAUUAGCAUGGAAUAAUGAAAUAGGACAUCCGAUUCUAUUUUGUUGGUUUCUAGGAUCGAUGUAAUGAUUAAUAGGGAUAGUUGGGGGCAUUAGUAUUCAAUUGUCAGAGGUGAAUUUCUUGGAUUUAUUGAAGACUAACUACUGCGAAAGCAUUUGUCAAGGAUGUUUUCAUUAAUCAAGAACAAAAGCUAGGAGAUCGAAGACGAUCAGAUACUGUCGUAGUCUUAACCAUAAACUAUGCCGACUAGGGAUCAGAUGAUGCUUAUUUUUUAAUAACUCAUUCGGCACCUUACGGGAAACCAAAGUGUUUGGGUUC
RNAcentral lists this ribosomal RNA (799 nucleotides) under uncultured Glomus. Its description in RNAcentral is "SSU rRNA". It matches the Rfam family "Eukaryotic small subunit ribosomal RNA", at positions 314 to 1114 of the family's 1831-position model. The record is from RNAcentral. Lineage: Eukaryota; Fungi; Glomeromycota; Glomeromycetes; Glomerales; Glomeraceae.